Molecule: ribosomal RNA, 451 nt
Filed under: uncultured bacterium
Lineage: Bacteria
Description: bacterial SSU rRNA
Rfam family: Bacterial small subunit ribosomal RNA
Source: RNAcentral
AUAAAUGCUGGCGGCGUGCCUAACACAUGCAAGUCGAGCGGCAGCGCGAGUAGUUUACUACUUGGCGGCGAGCGGCGGACGGCUGAGUAACGCGUGGGAACGUACCCCAAAGUGAGGAAUAACUGCCCGAAAGGGUGGCUAAUGCCGCAUAUGGUCUUCGGAUUAAAGGAUUUAUCCGCUUUGGGAACGGCCUGCGUACGAUUAGAUAGUUGGUGGGGUAAAGGCCUACCAAGUCUACGAUCGUUAACUGGUCUGAGAGGAUGAUCAGUCAGACUGGAACUGAGAUACGGUCCAGACUCCUACGGGAGGCAGCAGUGAGGAAUCUUCCACAAUGGACGAAAGUCUGAUGGAGCAACGCCGCGUGCAGGAUGAAGGCCUUCGGGUUGUAAAUGGCUUUUUUUAGGGACGAACAAAUGACGGUACCUAAAGAAUAAGUGGUUGCUAACUCUGU